AAUCAGGGUUAUUACAGCUCUUCAGAGCUGAAAUUCAAACCCAUGCUUAUGUACUUAACUGGCCUUGAUGAUAUUAGUCAUAUUGUCUAUGAACGGGCUUAUCUUCAAAGGCGUUAAACUUUUAUAGUUCUCAUUUCUUUGUGUUACAGGUGCUUUGCAUUUCAGAGAAGGCAUACUUGCUCUCCUGUUUAUUCCCCUUCCGUCAGAUGAUGAACUGGGGGUAUGAUGACACUGAAACCAUGUCUGAAAAACAUUUGGAGAUUUUGGGGAGCAAGGUUGAAGAAAACUGGGAAAUAUUACUACUUUAUGUUUACUCUUCCAUAAUUUAUGAUUUUUUUUCAAUACCUCUGCUGUGUUGUCAGUGGUUCCACACACCUUUUUGUGGGAAGACAUGCAGUUCAUGAAAAAAAAAAAAGAGAGAACGUCACUGGAACUGCAACAUAACUGCAGCAGCAUCUGCACUAAUCUAGAAAAUCAUCCACACUUCCAUCAGAGCUUAGUCUUUAUUGGAACUAUGGCUCAUAAUUAGCAACUAUCAGCUGCUGUGAUUACCAGAUAAUUUGAAUUAAAACUGUAUUCAGGUUGAUUUUCAGAUCCUGUGUUUUCAAAUACUUCUUGUGUUGAAAUGGCUAUUCAGACAAGCUUUUGGAAACAAAGCAUUGUACAGCACAAGGUACAGUUCCUUAUGUUCCAAGAAGAUGGAGAGAAGUCAUCAAGCUUCAUGAGGGUGUGCACUUGUCAUAUGUCAGGUACAGCUCCUGAAAGACAACGUCCUGAUCCUGUGCAUUGUCUGAGGGUGACAGUGGGCAACAGAGUGUGUGAGCAGUCUGGCCAGUAAUGGUCCAGCACUCUGACCUGCUUAUCUUACAAGCACAAAAAUUACUUCAGCCUGCAGAAAGUCUUUGGACUCUGUCUUAACUAGCCAAAACUUAACCUGCAAUUAGGAGUCUUGAAUCACUUGGAAAAACAGGUACUCUUUACGUUUGGGUUCAUGUUUCAGUAGGGAGAGAGUACUCCAGACUCCUCACAUUCUGAGUUCAGGGACCUCAAGGGAGAGUAGGAAUUGUACUAGAAGAGCU
Molecule: long non-coding RNA, 1079 nt
Organism: Pezoporus flaviventris
Lineage: Eukaryota; Metazoa; Chordata; Aves; Psittaciformes; Psittacidae
Exons: 3
Source: RefSeq, a predicted model, not a curated record